AGCGAACGCUGGCGGCAUGCCUAACACAUGCAGGUCGAACGAGACCUUCGGGUCUAGUGGCGCACGGGUGCGUAACGCGUGGGAACCUGCCCUUAGGUUCGGAAUAACUCCCCGAAAGGGGUGCUAAUACCGGAUAAUGUCUUCGGACCAAAGAUUUAUCGCCUUUGGAUGGGCCCGCGUUGGAUUAGCUAGUUGGGAGGGUAAAAGCAUACCAAGGCGAGGAUCCAUAGCUGGUCUGAGAGGAUGGUCAGCCACACUGGGACUGAGACACGGCCCAGACUCCUACGGGAGGGAGCAGUGGGGAAUAUUGGACAAUGGGCGAAAGCCUGAUCCAGCUAUGCCGCGUGAGUGAUGAAGGCCUUAGGGUUGUAAAGCUCUUUUACCCGGGAUGAUAAUGACAGUACCGGGAGAAUAAGCUCCGGCUAACUCCGUG
RNAcentral lists this ribosomal RNA (433 nucleotides) under uncultured bacterium. RNAcentral's name for it is "partial 16S ribosomal RNA". It matches the Rfam family "Bacterial small subunit ribosomal RNA", at positions 29 to 507 of the family's 1533-position model. The record is from RNAcentral.